This is a non-coding RNA of Pelobates cultripes (western spadefoot toad), 243 nucleotides long. Lineage: Eukaryota; Metazoa; Chordata; Amphibia; Anura; Pelobatidae. The record is from the annotation of a GenBank genome assembly.
CUCAGACAAUCUUGGAGGUGAAGAUGCUGAAUGUUGAGGUCCUGGGCUGGUGUGGUUACACGUGGUUGUGAGACCGGUUGGAUGUACUGCCAAAUUCUCUGAAACGCCUUUGGAGACGGCUUAAAUGGACAUUCAGUUCAUGGGCUCUGGUGGGCAUUUCUGCAGUCCGCAUGCCAAUUGCACGCACCCUUGCGACAUCUAUGGCAUUGUGCUGUAUGAUAAAUCUGCACAUUUUAGAGUGGC